RNAcentral lists this ribosomal RNA (382 nucleotides) under uncultured bacterium. RNAcentral's name for it is "bacterial SSU rRNA". It matches the Rfam family "Bacterial small subunit ribosomal RNA", at positions 28 to 414 of the family's 1533-position model. The record is from RNAcentral.
GACGAACGCUGGCGGCGUGCUUAACACAUGCAAGUCGAACGGAAAGGCCCUGCUUUGUGGGUGCUCGAGUGGCGAACGGUGAGUAACACGUGAGUAACCUGCCCUUGACUUUGGGAUAACUUCAGGAAACUGGGGCUAAUACCGGAUAGGAGCUCCUGCUGCAUGGUGGGGUUGGAAAGUUUCGGCGGUUGGGGAUGGACUCGCGGCUUAUCAGCUUGUUGGUGGGGUAGUGGCUUACCAAGGCUUUGACGGUAGCCGGCCUGAGAGGGUGACCGGCCACAUUGGGACUGAGAUACGGCCCAGACUCCUACGGGAGGCAGCAGUGGGAAUAUUGCACAAUGGGCGGAAGCCUGAUGCAGCAACGCCGCGUGCGGGAUGACGG